Long non-coding RNA from Eriocheir sinensis (Chinese mitten crab), 415 nucleotides. RefSeq lists it as uncharacterized. The transcript is spliced from 5 exons. The record is from RefSeq and is a predicted model, not a curated record. NCBI's taxonomy places the organism in Eukaryota, Metazoa, Arthropoda, Malacostraca, Decapoda, Varunidae.
AGAAUGACUAACGAUGGAGACAACAGUAAUGGCUGCGAGUAAAUGGUCCCGCUGAGUGGAAUACGUCACCUGUGUCAGAUCGUCAGGUCUUACUGAACGUAACCAGGCGUCAUUUAUUUACCUGGGACGCCUUGGGAGGGUAGGCGCUGGUAACCCGGACGUCACGGCGGCUAUGUGUCUUGUGGUGCUGUGCUCUUCAACGGAGACGCGCAUACUGGAGGCGGAGAUCAGUACCGUGGCCUUCCAUCCUUCCCUUUGCAGACUUUACUUCGUUUUAUCAAGGUGACGAGACUCCUAAAGCUGAGCGGGAACAUUCAGCCUCAGAGGGACGCGGCGCUGCAGGUGACACGCCGAGGACGGAGGGAAGGCAGACAGGGCGGACGGCCGGUACCUGCCAGCGAGGGCGAGCGAGAGG